GAUGAACGCUGGCGGCGUGCCUAAUACAUGCAAGUCGAGCGUACAGACGAGGAGCUUGCUCCUUCGACGUUAGCGGCGGACGGGUGAGUAACACGUAGGUAACCUACCUAUAAGACUGGGAUAACUUCGGGAAACCGGAGCUAAUACCGGAUAAUAUUUCGAACCGCAUGGUUCGAUAGUGAAAGAUGGCUUUGCUAUCACUUAUAGAUGGACCUGCGCCGUAUUAGCUAGUUGGUAAGGUAACGGCUUACCAAGGCAACGAUACGUAGCCGACCUGAGAGGGUGAUCGGCCACACUGGAACUGAGACACGGUCCAGACUCCUACGGGAGGCAGCAGUAGGGAAUCUUCCGCAAUGGGCGAAAGCCUGACGGAGCAACGCCGCGUGAGUGAUGAAGGUCUUCGGAUCGUAAAACUCUGUUAUUAGGGAAGAACAAACGUGUAAGUAACUGUGCACGUCUUGACGGUACCUAAUCAGAAAGCCACGGCUAACUACGUG
RNAcentral lists this ribosomal RNA (497 nucleotides) under uncultured bacterium. RNAcentral's name for it is "partial 16S ribosomal RNA". It matches the Rfam family "Bacterial small subunit ribosomal RNA", at positions 28 to 507 of the family's 1533-position model. The record is from RNAcentral.